Non-coding RNA from Vicia faba (fava bean), 225 nucleotides. NCBI's taxonomy places the organism in Eukaryota, Viridiplantae, Streptophyta, Magnoliopsida, Fabales, Fabaceae. The record is from the annotation of a GenBank genome assembly.
AUGGUUUCAGUACUGAUGUUAAUUGAGGCAAAUAUUGUUGAGCAACAAGAGAAAAUCAGGUGCAAGUAUUCCCUCGGAAUUGAUAGAGGAUUCCAGAAGCUCUUAGACAGAGUUGAAUAUAGCGAGAAGAGUAUUUUACGAUAUGAGCGUAUUUAUGGUCGAGGCUUUAUAAGCGCCAGAGGACUUGGUAUGCCUUUGUAUCUUCCCUUCUCUGCUUCAAAUUGA